CUUCUCUGCAUGUGAGCCUGCUGCCUCUGGCCCCCCUGGCCCCCAGAAGCAAGUUACUUGCCUUGUGCUGCCUUGGGUGAAAGUAAACUUCCUCUACUGGCAGAAGUGGAAUGGCACAAGCCUCUCUGGUCCUCAGGAGCAGCCGCAUCAUGCUGGGACUUCUCUGGCCAUUGUAAUUCUGACGUGAAAAUAGAUCAGUGGAAACUUUGCACAGAAACAUUUCCAGUGUUCAAGUAAGGGCUUUGUAUAGAGGAGCAACACAGGCGCUAUAAUGUACUGCUUGGAGACCAUAAUCUAUCCUGCCCUUAAUGACAGCUUGUACGCGCCCUUGCCUCAACAAACCAGAAGGAACCACUGGCAAAUGGGUGCCACUGCUGGUGAAAGAAAAACAGCCAGAUGUACUGCUUCUGGGACUGGGGCAGAAACCCCUUGAAUACCUGCUUCAAAUCAACUUUCAUGUUUUAUUGUUGGAAAUGGACCCUUUCGAGGAUCACCGCUUCCUUUUGCAAAAAUGGAAAGGAAACAAGACAUGCACAACAUCACCCUGGCCUGCAGUUCCAACACCUUCAUGGAGGUCAUCUUCUAGACAGUUGUGCUUCAAUAGCCAGAAAUCAGCAAAGAUUCCACCCAUCCUUUCUGCCUCGGCUGCUCCUGAACUCAGUGCAACCCCUCCAAAUGAAUGUGAAUUGGAACAUGUAUUGCCUUUCAACUUAAUCGAGUACUUACCAUGAAUCAGUGCACAAAAUAGGGGAGAGAAAAUGAGGGCGACAAAUACACAUGGAACCUGCUUUUAAUGAAUCUACUAUUAGUUUCAGGAUGCAUAUUGUGUUCUUUUGUUUUUAAUUAGGUGUGUCCCUAAGACAAGAAACGAAUGGAAAAGUGUGUUCUGGAAGUAUUUUAAGCCCCAUUAAUGAGAAACAAAAUAAAAUACAACAACAGCAGCCACAAGAGCAACAAGAGCAACAACAAAACUCUAAUGUGAACAACUCAGGACUUUUCAAUUCAGUUUUUUUGAUGUUCUUCAAGUUCUGAGAGAUACGAUCCAUUUUAUUUUGUAUAUUUUGGUGGUGCUGCCAUAGGAUUCAUUUUAUUGAUUCCAUAAAUAUUCAGCAGGCUUUAGAGACAUUAAUACAAUAUAGUUUGAGUUCAUUUGAAUCAAAUUCUAAUUUUUUCCUUUAGGUGUAGAUUGUCUGUUGGAAAAUACAUCUAUUGCAUAUUUCUUGGCCGAAGGAAGGUGAAUUAUACCUGGUGUCUUUAUAGACAUCUGCCUGCCACGCCCUAGGCCCCACCAUUCCAAUGAGUGAGUAGCAAGAAAAGAAAGCUCAUAUUCCACCUUGGGGGUGACACCCAUGGACUAAGUAUUGCACAGGGGCCAGAACAGCUGGGCAAUGAUUCUCCAUGAAAUUUGACUAAAUAAUCUUUUCAGUAUUCAUUGUGUGACUUCUUUUAUUCCCUAAGUUGGAUGACUAUACAGUUUUUCUAGAAAUGUAUUUCUGAGCUGAGAGUAAGUUUAAGUUACGAUUUUUCCAGCGUUAUAACAUUAAUAUGACUCUAGCCACUAGACAUUUUAUGUAGUGUCUGUGACACAUUUUAGUAUGGAUGAGCCAACAAUAGACGUGUCUUUGUCUUGAGUAGUGUCCAUCUGAAUUGAAAAUGAACCAGCUUUUCUUUUUGAACAUCGUCAACAGACUUCUUAAUUAAGCUGCCAAUACAUACUGCCAAUAACACUGUGCUGUUCUAGAAAUAGUGUCAGUGCUGUUUCCACCGUAUUAAAUAAACAAUGCUGCUCCAUAUAUACUGGAUUUUAAGUGUUCUUUGAAUGGGACUGCACAUUGCUCCCUAAAUAAUUUGAUGAGAUUUCUCA
This is a long non-coding RNA of Chinchilla lanigera (long-tailed chinchilla), 1864 nucleotides long. Lineage: Eukaryota; Metazoa; Chordata; Mammalia; Rodentia; Chinchillidae. The record is from Ensembl.